Molecule: small RNA, 502 nt
Filed under: Pan troglodytes (chimpanzee)
Lineage: Eukaryota; Metazoa; Chordata; Mammalia; Primates; Hominidae
Description: processed transcript
Source: RNAcentral
UUCAUGAUGCCAGCUGAGCGCCGCCUGCCCCUGAGCUUCGUGCUGGAUGUGCGGGAGGGCCGGGCCCAGCACCCUGGAGUCCUCUAUGUGCAGAAGCAGUGCUCCAACCUGCCCACUGAGCUGCCCCAGCUGCUGCCUGAUCUGGAAUCCCAUGUGCCCUGGGCCUCCGAAGCCCUGGGAAAGAUGCCCGAUGCUGUGAACUUCUGGCUGGGGGAGGCGGCUGCGGUGACUCUUGCCGUCUUGGGGUGCAGGCUCUCAGCAUGAUGGUUUGCCUCCUCCUGUGCCCCUGCCCUCCAUACCCUGCCCCUGGGCCUUCUUUCUGUUGGCAGUGCAAAAGGACCACUAUGAGAACCUCUACUGCGUGGUCUCAGGAGAGAAGCAUUUCCUGUUCCAUCCGCCCAGCGACCGGCCCUUCAUCCCCUAUGAGCUGUACACGCCGGCAACCUACCAGCUAACUGAAGAGGGCACCUUUAAGGUGGCGGAUGAAGAGGCCAUGGAGAAG